Drosophila melanogaster (fruit fly) is the source of this 892-nucleotide non-coding RNA. The record is from Ensembl. NCBI's taxonomy places the organism in Eukaryota, Metazoa, Arthropoda, Insecta, Diptera, Drosophilidae.
CGAUCGCACUCGGCCAACCGCUCCGUCUCAAGCACGACCACCAACUGAUCUCUCCGGCGGCACGGAUCUUGGCUGGUAGCGUUGCCAACUCACCACGGUCUGCAUCUGCAGGCUGCCAACAUGUAACUGGUUUGCUGUUGCUCUCCGGCCAACUCUUAGUUGGCUCUCAUCUGGCUGGCUCCUUCUCGCGCGUCAGCUGAGCGCAACAGCCGGGAACAGCAAGAAAAACAACGCGCACACUGAGAGAAACGAGGCCCACACUCGGACUGACAGCACUUCCCCAUUUUGGCUGCCAGCAACCAGUUGCAUAUGAAAGUAAAAGUAAAGCAUGCACAUGCAGCGUAUAAUAAAUAUAUAUACACAAACUGCAUUUAAAUGCAUUGCAGACGGGCUGAGAGACCGCUGGAGAGAUACAUAUGCGACUAUAUGUUUAAUAUGUUUCAUACAAACAAAACAAACAAAAGGCGAGCCGGUGCGAAGACAGCCACACCGGUUGUGAAUGCAGACACCGCUCAGACAACUAUACCCAUAUUAUGUGCAUAUAAGUUCAUAUAUACGAUACAUAUAUAUAUAUACAUAUAUGGCCGCUAAUGAAAUGCGUUCAAAGAGGCCGAAACGAUACCCAGAUGCUGAUAAACAAGCUGAAAACCAAGCCAGGCUCAAGCUCAAAAAUAACCGAAACUUCAUUUCGAAGACAUGACAUCAUAUAUGUAUACGUAUGCUGCAUAAUCUUCUUGCUCGGGAUUUAAAUUGUUUAAACAGAAUUUCUUUGAAUAUUCGACUCGUGACUCAAAAGGUUUUGCUCAGGGAAUUUAUUUCUUUGGCCUUCAGAGAUUUUAUGGACACGUUCGUGUUUCGUUUAGAAAACAUAAAUUGAAAUUAGGGAUAAAAU